GAUGAACGCUGGCGGCGUGCUUAACACAUGCAAGUCGAACGAGAAGUGAAGACGGAAACCUUCGGGCGGAAGGCUUUAUUUCGAGUGGCGGACGGGUGAGUAACGCGUGGGUAACCUGCCUCAUACAGGGGGAUAACAGUUGGAAACGACUGUUAAUACCGCAUAAGACCACAGCACCGCAUGGUGCGGGGGUAAAAACUCCGGUGGUAUGAGAUGGACCCGCGUUCGAUUAGCCAGUUGGCGGGGUAACGGCCCACCAAAGCGACGAUCGAUAGCCGAUCUGAGAGGAUGACCGGCCACAUUGGGACUGAGACACGGCCCAAACUCCUACGGGAGGCAGCAGUGGGGAAUAUUGCACAAUGGGGGAAACCCUGAUGCAGCGACGCCGCGUGAGUGAAGAAGUAUUUCGGUAUGUAAAGCUCUAUCAGCAGGGAAGAAAAUGACGGUACCGGAGUAAGAAGCCCCGGCGAACUACGU
RNAcentral lists this ribosomal RNA (477 nucleotides) under uncultured bacterium. RNAcentral describes it as "partial 16S ribosomal RNA". It matches the Rfam family "Bacterial small subunit ribosomal RNA", at positions 28 to 506 of the family's 1533-position model. The record is from RNAcentral.